RNAcentral lists this ribosomal RNA (394 nucleotides) under uncultured bacterium. RNAcentral describes it as "bacterial SSU rRNA". It matches the Rfam family "Bacterial small subunit ribosomal RNA", at positions 28 to 419 of the family's 1533-position model. The record is from RNAcentral.
GAUGAACGCUAGCGGCAGGCCUAAUACAUGCAAGUCGAACGGUAAGGCCCUUUCGGGGGUACACGAGUGGCGGACGGGUGCGUAACGCGUAUGCAACAUGCCUUCCAGCGGGGGAUAUACCAGGGAAACUUGGCGCAAUACCCCAUAGAAUUACGGGACCGCAUGGUCUUGUGAUUAAAACUCCGGUGCUGGGAGAUUGGCAUGCGUGACAUUAGCUAGUUGGCGGGGUAACGGCCCACCAAGGCGACGAUGUCUAGCUGGUCUGAGGAGGAUGAUCAGCCACACUGGGACUGAGACACGGCCCAGACUCCGUACGGGAGGCAGCAGUAGGGAAUAUUGGACAAGUGGGGGGAACCCUGAUCCAGCCAUGCCGCGUGGAGGGAAGAAGGUCCUC